UUGUUGGUAAGGUAAAAGCUUACCAAGGCUUCGAUCAGUAGCUGGUCUGAGAGGACGACCAGCCACACUGGGACUGAGACACGGCCCAGACUCCUACGGGAGGCAGCAGUGGGGAAUUUUGGUCAAUGGGGGCAACCCUGAUCCAGCCAUGCCGCGUGAGUGAAGAAGGCCUUCGGGUUGUAAAGCUCUUUCAGCCGGAACGAAACGGUUACGGAUAACACCCGUGACUACUGACGGUACCGGAAGAAGAAGCACCGGCUAACUACGUGCCAGCAGCCGCGGUAAUACGUAGGGUGCGAGCGUUAAUCGGAAUUACUGGGCGUAAAGCGUGCGCAGGUGGUUUUGUAAGUCAGAUGUGAAAGCCCCGGGCUCAACCUGGGAACUGCGUUUGAAACUACAAGACUAGAGUGUGGCAGAGGGGGGUGGAAUUCCGCGUGUAGCAGUGAAAUGCGUAGAGAUGUGGAGGAACACCGAUGGCGAAGGCAGCCCCCUGGGUCAACACUGGCGCUCAGGCACGAAAGCAUGGGGAGCAAACAGGAUUAGAUACCCUGGUAGUCCAUGCCCUAAACGAUGUCAACUAGUUGUCGGGCCUUUACGGGCUUGGUAACGUAGCUAACGCGUGAAGUUGACCGCCUGGGGAGUACGAUCGCAAGAUUAAAACUCAAAUGAAUUGACGGGGACCCGCACAAGCGGUGGAUUAUGUGGAUUAAUUCGAUGCAACGCGAAAAACCUUACCUACCCUUGACAUGUAUCGAAGCCCGCAGAAAAGCGGGGGUGCCCGAAAGGGAACGAUAACACAGGUGCUGCAUGGCUGUCGUCAGCUCGUGUCGUGAGAUGUUGGGUUAAGUCCCGCAACGAGCGCAACCCUUGUCAUUAAUUGCCAUCAUUUAGUUGGGCACUUUAAUGAGACUGCCGG
RNAcentral lists this ribosomal RNA (916 nucleotides) under uncultured bacterium. RNAcentral describes it as "bacterial SSU rRNA". It matches the Rfam family "Bacterial small subunit ribosomal RNA", at positions 246 to 1155 of the family's 1533-position model. The record is from RNAcentral.